RNAcentral lists this ribosomal RNA (227 nucleotides) under uncultured bacterium. Its description in RNAcentral is "partial 16S ribosomal RNA". It matches the Rfam family "Bacterial small subunit ribosomal RNA", at positions 383 to 607 of the family's 1533-position model. The record is from RNAcentral.
CUGAACCAGCCAAGUAGCGUGAAGGACGACUGCCCUAUGGGUUGUAAACUUCUUUUAUAAAGGAAUAAAGUCGGGUAUGUAUACCCGUUUGCAUGUACUUUAUGAAUAAGGAUCGGCUAACUCCGUGCCAGCAGCCGCGGUAAUACGGAGGAUCCGAGCGUUAUCCGGAUUUAUUGGGUUUAAAGGGAGCGUAGAUGGAUGUUUAAGUCAGUUGUGAAAGUUUGCGG